UUUCUACUGUUGACCUCAGACACAAUCAGUUCGUUUUGGUGUGAAUUCGAUUAAUCUGUGCUGAUGCUAACUGAUGUUGGUUGCUAGUGAACUGUGAUCGGUGACUUGGGCGUUGCAACCAAUGUGAUAGUGUUAAGUUUUCAGAGUUGCACUGCGUUCAGAGUUGCUCAUGCACAUUGCAUUGCCGUUACUAGGUCUUCAGAAUGUUUUGAAGAUUUUGCAAGCCGGAUCGUUUCAUUUCUACGGUUCGGUUUUGGAUCAAG
RNAcentral lists this long non-coding RNA (263 nucleotides) under Setaria viridis. RNAcentral's name for it is "long non-coding RNA (SVIR_LNC005714)". Lineage: Eukaryota; Viridiplantae; Streptophyta; Magnoliopsida; Poales; Poaceae. The record is from RNAcentral.